Molecule: long non-coding RNA, 938 nt
Filed under: Cicer arietinum (chickpea)
Lineage: Eukaryota; Viridiplantae; Streptophyta; Magnoliopsida; Fabales; Fabaceae
Description: long non-coding RNA (CARI_LNC003798)
Source: RNAcentral
AAAACUAAAGUGUUCAAAAUACCAUAAAAGGAAAGUUUGUAUAAUAUAGCUAGUGAGUGAAAUCAUUCAUACUCUUUGAAGAACAAAAAUGGCAUCACACGACCAAAGCUACAAAGCUGGUGAGACCAUGGGCCGAACUGAGGUAUAUUAUAUAUAACAAAUUUCAUGCAAAAUUAUUUCUGAAUUUUUUUUUGUUUUAUUUAUUUAUAAUAUAUUAAUUUUUAUUCUAAAUUUAAUUUAUAUAUACAUAGUUUUUACAUUCUCAAUGAAGCUCACAAGUGUCACAAGUGUAAUGUUGGGUCACAAGUAUAAUGUUAUUAAAGAAUUUUAUAUUAAUAAUGUAUUAUAAUUGAAUUUUAUAUUAAUAAUGUAUUAUAAUUGAAUUUUAUUUUUUCGUUUAAAUUAUUUAUCUUAUAAAAUAUAUACAAAUAAAUCAUAGUUUUUAUUUUUUAUUAAAAAAUUAUAGUGCAAGUUACACAGGAUUAUUAUUACUAUUUUUAUUUUAAAAAAAUUAUUUAUUAAAAUUAAAGAAACCCUUAAUAACAUCAUCAUCAUCUUCUUCACUUAUCCUUCUAAACUCAAAAUUAAAUUACUCAAUUCUCAAUAAAUACUAUAUUUACAAAACUCAUAGCCACAAAACAACAGUGAAAAUAUAUUCCUUUUAUUUUCUGAUGUGAAAAUCCUAAAUUUCCCAAACCGAUAACCACGAAACAAUAAUUAAAAUAUAUUCCUUUAUUUUCUGAUCUUAAGUAUUGCAUUCUAUAUUUUUUAGGAGCAAGAUGUUUAACAAAUGCCGAGUGUUAUAAAAAUGACUAUGCUAAUGCCAUUUUUAAUUUAAAAAAAUAAAAAAUAAAAGAGGAAUUAAUCGUGCUUUGAUGGAUUGGUGGAUCAGGAAAAGACCAACCAAAUGAUUGGCAACAUAGAAGAUAAGGCCCAAG